ACAUCCAGAGAACUUAGCAGAGAUGCUUUGGUGCCUUCGGGACCUCUGAGACAGGUGCUGCAUGGCUGUCGUCAGCUCGUGUUGUGAAAUGUUGGGUUAAGUCCCGCAACGAGCGCAACCCUUAUCCUUUGUUGCCAGCGGCUCGGCCGGGAACUCAAAGGAGACUGCCGGUGAUAAACCGGAGGAAGGUGGGGAUGACGUCAAGUCAUCAUGGCCCUUACGGCCAGGGCUACACACGUGCUACAAUGGCGCAUACAAAGAGAAGCGACCUCGCGAGAGCAAGCGGACCUCAUAAAGUGCGUCGUAGUCCGGAUUGGAGUCUGCAACUCGACUCCAUGAAGUCGGAAUCGCUAGUAAUCGUAGAUCAGAAUGCUACGGUGAAUACGUUCCCGGGCCUUGUACACACCGCCCGUCACACCAUGGGAGUGGGUUGCAAAAGAAGUAGGUAGCUUAACCUCCGGGAGGGCGCUUACCACUUUGUGAUUCAUGACUGGGGUGAAGUCGUAACAAGGUAGGCGUAGACGU
This 525-nucleotide ribosomal RNA is filed under the name uncultured bacterium. RNAcentral describes it as "bacterial SSU rRNA". It matches the Rfam family "Bacterial small subunit ribosomal RNA", at positions 984 to 1509 of the family's 1533-position model. The record is from RNAcentral.